GUGAGGAAUAUUGUGCAAUGGAGGCAACUCUGACGCAGCCAUGCCGCGUGCAGGAAGAAGGCGCUACGCGUUGUAAACUGCUUUUAACCGGGAAGAAACCCCAGGACGUGUCCUGGGUUGACGGUACCGGAGGAAUAAGCACCGGCUAACUUCGUGCCAGCAGCCGCGGUAAUACGAAGGGUGCAAGCGUUAUCCGGAUUCAUUGGGUUUAAAGGGUGCGUAGGCGGAGCGUUAAGUCAGUGGUGAAAUCCUGCAGCUUAACUGUAGACUUGCCAUUGAUACUGGCGCUCUUGAGUGCGCUUGAAGUGGGCGGAAUGUGCCGUGUAGCGGUGAAAUGCUUAGAUAUGGCACAGAACACCAAUUGCGAAGGCAGCUCACUAAGGCGAUACUGACGCUGAGGCACGAAAGCGUGGGGAUCGAACAGGAUUAGAAACCCUAGUAGUCC
RNAcentral lists this ribosomal RNA (445 nucleotides) under uncultured bacterium. Its description in RNAcentral is "partial 16S ribosomal RNA". It matches the Rfam family "Bacterial small subunit ribosomal RNA", at positions 354 to 796 of the family's 1533-position model. The record is from RNAcentral.